Hydra vulgaris (swiftwater hydra) is the source of this 432-nucleotide long non-coding RNA. RefSeq lists it as uncharacterized. Lineage: Eukaryota; Metazoa; Cnidaria; Hydrozoa; Anthoathecata; Hydridae. The record is from RefSeq and is a predicted model, not a curated record.
UCAAAAUAUAUUUUUAUUGAUGUUUUCUGUCUCUGAUUCUUUCUUUUUCAGAUGUGCACUUGUGUCUUAGGCUUAUGCUUUGCAAAAGGUUCACCAUCGCCCUUAAGUUGCUGUGGGUUUUACGGUUUUACUUCCAACCUGGCAUAUAAAUGCACUUAGUAUCUGAAGUUAUUUGUCAAUAACUGGUGAUCAGACUUUCAAACGAACACGUUUUUAAGGGCUGAGAAGGUGAAAGUUAGAAGUUUGCAGACUGCAACGUAAAUCAAUUUUCAACACAUGGUUUUCUGAAUAUAUUUAGUUUUCGAUUGAAAUGAGAAUAAACUGAAUUUAUAGAUAUGUUGAAAGUUAACUAUUUUAUAUUUUAAACGUUCGCUAAACGCAAGUGAAGCAAUAAUCUAUAGAUGCAAAUAUACUCUAUAUUUUGUUUUAGUU